Long non-coding RNA from Panicum virgatum (switchgrass), 1177 nucleotides. RefSeq lists it as uncharacterized. The record is from RefSeq and is a predicted model, not a curated record. NCBI's taxonomy places the organism in Eukaryota, Viridiplantae, Streptophyta, Magnoliopsida, Poales, Poaceae. The transcript has 4 exons.
AUGUUUAACUACUAGGGCUGUUACACCGUCUCCCAUGGUUGCCGUCCCCGUCCCCGUCGCCGUCGCCUGCGUGCCCCGAUGGCACUGCGACGGUUCUACGGCUUCCCCUCCAACAUCGUCGCGUUCCUGGCUCGAGAUCCCCUUCCUUCCCGCCGCCCGGCUCCUACCCCGACUUCCAGCGCCUCCUCCCCGCCGUGGACGCGCUCCGGACAGGUCAACCGCCAUGCCGGUUAAUGGAGAAUGGAGAUCCAUCCCGAGGCGGAUGAGGCGGACGAUGCCAGAUACGGGCUCGGAGUCCUUCGCCGCCGUGACACUGCAGCCGGCAGCCAAUCCUGAGGUUCCCGUCGGGGUCGAUCUGCGCGCCCGCCGGGGGCGGGUUUCUCUCCGGGCCAAUCGAGAGGGGUUCCUCUCCGGGCCCCUUGACGCCGCGCUCAUAUUCGGGCCCCUCCUGGGCGCCGCCACCUCCGGUCGCAUGGGAGGCGCUGUGCCCACGCUCCACCGGAGCCUCUCCCAGGGCGCAUGUGGAGCGGGAGCCCAAGGUGCAUCUCGUGUCCGGCAGUCCGAAUCCAGAUCGAGUUGCUCGCGACCCGACUGCGGCGGCGGCGGUUACAAGGCGCGCAAAUUCCGGCACGGGACGCCGCGACCCCCGCAAUGAUGUGCGGAUCCGAGCAUGGGUGUGACCCCACUGGGAGGUAGCGGCGGCUGGUGGAGGGCUCCGAGCGGGAGCUGCGGACACGCCCAUGUACAUCGCGCGGGAGGCAAUCAAGCUGUGUAGGAAGGUGAGCGUGAAGACGAGGCGGAGUUGCAGCUUCUGCUGGAGAAGUGGCAACUGCAGCUUGCAAGAUUGGUGUUCCAGGAAGAGGAUGCUUUGAUUAAUGAGCAGGCUCAGAUAACAUUGGUAAGCUAGAGCAGAUCGAGAAGAUGUGGCAGGUUACCUGAUUGAUCAUUGUAGAUCAUUGUAUUUCUACAAUUUUGGAAAAGUUUUACCACUAGGACACGAAAAUCUACUUACAUGUUAUGUACAAUCUCCUAAUGGAUAUAAUGCAUAUGGUUUAGAAUCUUGAAAUUUCAGAAAGCAGAAAAUUUUAUAUUUUUACAGUCCUAUGUUACAUUGAAUGAUGAACCGGUCUGCAAGAUUGACCAAAAUAGAAAUGAAAAGUCCAUCCUAGGAAAGCAA